Molecule: long non-coding RNA, 1483 nt
Filed under: Marmota monax (woodchuck)
Lineage: Eukaryota; Metazoa; Chordata; Mammalia; Rodentia; Sciuridae
Source: RNAcentral
UCUGUUCUCCACCAUGUGAGGACACAGUGAGAAGACAGUCAUCUGAAAACCAGGAAGUGGCCCUCACCGACACCAGAUCUGCUGGCACCUUGAUCUUGGUCUUCCCAGCCUCUGAGAACAGAAGAAAUAUGAGAAGUAACUUUCUGUUGCUUAAACCAUCUAGCCUGUGGCAUUGGACUCAGGUAGGCACGUUCCCCGAGCUUCAUAACAUUCCUUAUUUAUGUCUGGAUUAGUGAGGUCAGACUUCAGCAACCAGUGACUUGGGACAUCUCCUUAGCUUUGUCUGCAGCAUCCUCUUGCUCACUCAGUGUUUUUGCGGCUCUGUUCCAUGGAGACUCCACUUUGGAAUUGAGGCUGGAGGAGCCGCCUCUCCCUGGAACAUUGCUGGUCAUGGUAGAGAGGAAGGAUCUCCUGCGUGAAGGCCCUUAAAGCCCCACCUGGAAGGGACACAUAUCUCUGCUGCCACGUUUCAUUGGCCAAUGCGAGUCACAAAGCCUCUUCUGUUUGGCAGGGAAGAGAUGUGUGGUCCUCCCAGGGAGGGGAGGAACACUGCAGAAAAGGAAGCCGGAGUAUUUGGUGACCAUCCACACAGCUUGGUCAGGGAGUUCCUAUUGUUUUGAAGAUGAAAGUCAAAGCCGUAAGACCUACAAGGCUCCUGAUCAGGUCUCUGCUAAGCUCCCUAACUUGACCUCCCCCCCGUUGAUCACUGAUUCUUUGAACAUGCCAUGGGGCUACUCUGCCCGGGUCUGGACAUGUCGUCCCCUCCUGUCCUCUUUCCCAACUUAGUCCUGGCACUUGUUCACAUCGCAGGGUCUUUGUCAUGGGCUUGCGCUGAGUGGCCGAUCUCCUUCGUUGGGCUUGUCUGAGCUUUCUGUGGCCCCUGCAGUAGGGGGAUUCCACCACCCAUGGCUGCCUCCCUGUCCUGAUGGGCAGCGCACAAUGCUGCAGUAGAAGCUGGUCAAGUGAAAGAAAGAGAAGAGGCUGAAGUGCAGAACAACCCCUGGAGGAAUGGAGAAUAUUUGAGUAGAAGACAGUCCUGGCAGGGGACAGGGUAAGGGGCUGUGCGUAUGUGGAGGGCGUUCAUGGAAGCUGGGGCUGGAUUUAUUUUUCAUUCUUUCCCAGAGCAUCUUUAAAGCCAAAGUUUGAAAGUUAGAGGUGAUGAGUUAAUUUUGGGUCGCUGUAAUACUGAACUUCCUGACAGUGUGAGCAUGCAUAUUAGAAAUGUUCUGUUCUCUGUCCCUGCUCCAGCAGAGACCGAUGACAGAGAUGGGAAGUGUCAAUGGGCAUUUUGGAUAGCAGGGGUGGUGGAAGAGAGGCACGAGCUCGAUCCCUCAGACUUCAAAGUGGUGUGGUUCCACUACAAAACAGAGACACAAAUGAGGAGAUGAGAAAACACCGGGCAUCAAUUUCUAUAAAAUGGCACAGCCCCUGGGUGCCAUGCUGAUGUCCCUGUCUUGGCUUGUGAUUUGAGAACUGUUACAAG